RNAcentral lists this ribosomal RNA (1827 nucleotides) under Romankenkius sp. MAP-2014. RNAcentral describes it as "SSU rRNA". It matches the Rfam family "Eukaryotic small subunit ribosomal RNA". The record is from RNAcentral. Lineage: Eukaryota; Metazoa; Platyhelminthes; Tricladida; Dugesiidae.
UUUACCUGGUUGAUCCUGCCAGUAGUCAUAUGCUUAUCUCAAAGAUUAAGCCCAUGCAUGUCUAAGUACAGAGAUUUAUAUUCUAAAACCGCGGAUGGCUCAUUAUAACAGCUAUGAUUUGAGAGAAGUAAUCUUUUUGCUACAAGAUAACUGUGGUAAUUCUAGAGCUAAUAUUUACAAGAAUGCCGUGACUAACGAAGCGGCGGAUUUAUUAGAUCAAAAUCAACCAGGCACGCAAGUGUCGGUAUAUUGAUGAAUCUGGAUAACUUUACUGAUCAAACGACCUUGUGUCGUUGACGAAUCUCUUGAAAUGGCUGACCUAUCAACUUUCGAUGGUAAGAUCAAAGCUUACCAUGGUUGUAACGGGUAACGGGGAAUCAGUGUUCGAUUCCGGAGAGGGAGCCUGAGAAACGGCUACCACAUCCACGGAAGGCAGCAGGCGCGUAAAUUACCCAAUACCGGCUCGGUGAGGUAGUGACAAAAAAUAACAAUAUGGGCCCUAGUGGUUUCAUAAUUGCAAUGAGAAAAUUUUAAAUACUUUAUCAAGUAUCAAUUGGAGGGCAAGUCUGGUGCCAGCAGCCGCGGUAAUUCCAGCUCCAAAAGCGUAUAUUAAAGUUGUUGCAGUUAAAACGCUCGUAGUUGAAAUUGGGGACUUGCGACUAGUUGAAACCUAUGGUUGAUAUUGGUUGUUUCCUUCGUCGUCGUGUAUAUCGCUGAUGUUCUUUAAUGGAUGUCAUCAAUAACCGACAAGUUUACUUUGAAAAAAUUAGAGUGCUUAAAGCAGGCUUACGCUYGUAUAUUGUUGCAUGGAAUAAUGAAAUAGGACUUUGGUUUUAUUUUGUUGGUUUUCGAAACUGAAGUAAUGAUUAAAAGAGACUGCCGGGGGCAUAUGUAUGCUGGCGUUAGAGGAGAAGUUCUUAGAUCGUCAGCAGACAAACUACUGCGAAAGCAUUUGCCAAGAAUGUUUUCAUUAAUCAAGAACGAAAGUCAGAGGAUCGAAGACGAUCAGAUACCGUCCUAGUUCUGACCGUAAACUAUGCCAACUGACAGUUAGAUAAGGUAAUUCAAAUCUCCUUUCUAGAAGUCACCGGGAAACCUAAGUCUAUGGGUUCCGGGGGAAGUAUGGUUGCAAAGCUGAAACUUAAAGGAAUUGACGGAAGGGCACCACCAGGAGUGGAGCCUGCGGCUUAAUUUGACUCAACACGGGAAAUCUCACCCGGUCCGGACACUGUGAGGAUUGACAGAUUGAUAGCUCUUUCAUGAUUUGGUGGGUGGUGGUGCAUGGCCGUUCUUAGUUGGUGGAGCGAUUUGUCUGGUUAAUUCCGAUAACGAACGAGACUCUGACCUGCUAAAUAGUAAAUUUGUGUUUAAUCGCAAAUCUUUACUUCUUAGAGGAAUAAAUAGCGUUUAGCUAAAUGAAAUGGAGCAAUAACAGGUCUGUGAUGCCCUUAGAUGUCCGGGGCCGCACGCGCGCUACAAUGGCGGUAACAACAAGUUUGUCCUGGCUAGAAAUGGUUGGGUAAUCUUGUGAAUCACCGUCGUGUCAGGAAUAGUGGAUUGCAAUUUUCCCACUUGAACGAGGAAUUCCUAGUAAGCGCAAGUCAUCAACUUGCGCUGAUUACGUCCCUGCCCUUUGUACACACCGCCCGUCGCUACUACCGAUUGAAUGGUUUAGUGAGAUUGUUGGAUUCUGCACUAAGAAAUGGCAACAUUUCUAUGAAUGGGAAAAGACACUCAAACUUGAUCAUUUAGAAAGNGGUAAAAGYCGUAAACAAGGUUUCCGUAGGUGAACCUGCGGAAGGAUCMAAGGGCGAAUUCGUAACGCGC